UACAGAGGUCCCAAGCGUUACUGAGAAUCACUGGGUUAAAGGGUGCGUAGGUGGUCCGUUAAGUCAGUUGUGAAAUCCCGGGCUCAACCCGGGAAAUGCUUCUGAUACUGGCGGACUUGAGGCCAGUAGGGUCACUAGAACUGACGGUGGAGCGGUGAAAUGCGUAGAUAUCGUCAGGAAUGCCGGUGGUGAAGACGGGUGACUGGGCUGGUUCUGACA
RNAcentral lists this ribosomal RNA (219 nucleotides) under uncultured bacterium. RNAcentral describes it as "partial 16S ribosomal RNA". It matches the Rfam family "Bacterial small subunit ribosomal RNA", at positions 524 to 745 of the family's 1533-position model. The record is from RNAcentral.